GAAAUAUUUCCUCCGUCCAGAAAUACUUGUCCUAGAAAUAGAUAUAAUGGAUGUAUCUAUAACUAAAAUAAGUCUAGAUACAUUCAUCUCUAGAAUAAAUAUUUCCGGACGGAGGGAGUACUAC
Hordeum vulgare subsp. vulgare (domesticated barley) is the source of this 124-nucleotide non-coding RNA. The record is from Rfam. Lineage: Eukaryota; Viridiplantae; Streptophyta; Magnoliopsida; Poales; Poaceae.